RNAcentral lists this ribosomal RNA (481 nucleotides) under uncultured bacterium. RNAcentral describes it as "partial 16S ribosomal RNA". It matches the Rfam family "Bacterial small subunit ribosomal RNA", at positions 28 to 507 of the family's 1533-position model. The record is from RNAcentral.
GAUGAACGCUGGCGGCGUGCCUAACACAUGCAAGUCGAACGGAGAUUACGGACGGAAGUUUUCGGAUGGAAGCCUGUAAUUCUUAGUGGCGGACGGGUGAGUAACGCGUGGGCAACCUGCCCUAUACAGGGGGAUAGCAGCUGGAAACGGCUGGUAAGACCGCAUAAGUCGGUUAAAUCGCAUGAUUUGAUCGGGAAAUGAGCAAUCAGGUAUAGGAUGGGCCCGCGUCCGAUUAGCCAGUUGGCAGGGUAAAAGCCUACCAAAGCGACGAUCGGUAGCCGGACUGAGAGGUCGGACGGCCACAUUGGGUCUGAGACACGGCCCAAACUCCUACGGGAGGCAGCAGUGGGGGAUAUUGCACAAUGGAGGAAACUCUGAUGCAGCGACGCCGCGUGAGUGAAGAAGUAUUUCGGUAUGUAAAGCUCUAUCAGCAGGGAAGAUGAUGACGGUACCUGACUAAGAAGCCCCGGCUAACUACGUG